RNAcentral lists this ribosomal RNA (635 nucleotides) under Sugiyamaella mastotermitis. RNAcentral's name for it is "eukaryotic LSU rRNA". The stretch from base 251 to 404 matches the Rfam family "5.8S ribosomal RNA". The record is from RNAcentral. Lineage: Eukaryota; Fungi; Ascomycota; Dipodascomycetes; Dipodascales; Trichomonascaceae.
UAACAAGGUUUCCGUAGGUGAACCUGCGGAAGGAUCAUUAACGAAGUUUAAUAAGUCUUUAUUAUAAACGGUUCUGAAUAAGAGCUUUGUUUGUAUUAAAGUUCUUAUACUUUAAUCCAUUUACACCUGUGAAAUUAUAUUUUUGACUUUUUUGCUUUGGUUGGAUGUAAUAGUCUAGCCAAAGGAAUUUAUAAACUCCAAUUUUUUUAUACUAAUCUUUGUCUGAAUAAUUUUUAAACUAAAAAUUUAAAACUUUCAACAACGGAUCUCUUGGUUCUCGCAUCGAUGAAGAACGCAGCGAAACGCGAUAUGUAAUGUGAAUUGCAGAAUUUUGUGAAUCAUCGAAUCUUUGAACGCACAUUGCGCCCUCUGGUAUUCCGGAGGGCAUACCUGUUUGAGCGUCAUUUCUUUCUCAAAACUGUAUGGUUUUGGUAUUGAUCAAUUAGUACGAUAGUAUUAUUGAUUGAAAGAAAUUGGCAAAGGCAGUUAAAUCUAAGUCUUAACAACGUAUUAGGUUUUACCAACUCGUUGGCUUUGAGCUUUGUUUAACAAUUCGCCUGGCGAUAUAACAAAUUUUUAUUUUUAAAAAUUUGACCUCAAAUCAGGCAAGACUACCCGCUGAACUUAAGCAUAUC